CAUGGGUUGUUGUAGAUGCAACGGAGGUCUGGUCUAUAUGGGAAAAGAUUUGCAAGGAUCGUCUCAAGGAUCUAGUAGCGAAUAAACGCAAGAAGGUUAAGAUGGACUCAGACGCAUGCACGUCGAUCUCCUAUUGAUGAAAGUCACACACACACACAAGGCCAAGCAGAACAACCUAACAGAGAAGGACAGUAAUGUUGCAAAACAUACUAAGGGUUCCUUGCCUUUCACCCUACACCAGAACAGGAUGUUCGAGGAAAAGCAGCGUCAAGUGAUGUUCUCUGACCUCUUCGAAUGCAUUCACAAACAAUAGAAGGGUACUAGAGAAUUUGUGGACAAUAAGUCCAAGACUGUUUAUUAAGGAGCUGUCGACUCAACCGAAGUUUGAUCCUGAGGCAUGGAUCAAGGCCAUUGGAAGGCCCAAUAAUACUCGGACCCACAUCUACGGAUUUGGUACUAGAGUCCUCGUUUCAAGACUUCUAGCUCCAUCCAUGAUGUUUGAGUCUGCUUGUGGUCUUGAUGUUGCAUGACCUCCUCUGCCCCCUACACUUGAGCUCGGAGGAUAUAGACAAUUGGUUAAUACUAUUAGUACCUUGAUAACGUCGAUGGGUAAAAUUAAUAACUUAUUGGAAGUCAUUGCAGCAAGGUUAUUACCUUUCAACGCCUCUAAGUUUUCCUCAUCACAGUAAUCAAGUCUGCCACAUCCACCACAGUAAUAGCAAUAGUAGCCACCCUCAUCCCCUCAGUGAGCUUUGUAUUA
Molecule: non-coding RNA, 760 nt
Organism: Theobroma cacao (cacao)
Lineage: Eukaryota; Viridiplantae; Streptophyta; Magnoliopsida; Malvales; Malvaceae
Source: RefSeq, a predicted model, not a curated record